RNAcentral lists this long non-coding RNA (388 nucleotides) under Coturnix japonica (Japanese quail). RNAcentral's name for it is "lncRNA (ENSCJPG00005011540.1)". The record is from RNAcentral. Lineage: Eukaryota; Metazoa; Chordata; Aves; Galliformes; Phasianidae.
CCAAGCUGGCUUUGAGGUCACUCAUUAGGUGCCAGGGGUGGGAUAGGCUUUGCUCUUCUGGUUGCCCAGGUGCAAUUCCACUUCUACAUCAACACCUGUGAUCACAUUGCUCUCCAGUUCCGUACAACAAGCCCAGGCAGUCACCGAAACAAAAGUGCAAUCCCAAGCACAGAGCAGAGCACUCACCCCAACCAACCAGUGGAUGCUGAGAGACAGACAAGGAGAAUGCAUUUUUGCCUCCAAGAAAGAAUGAAAAUUACAACCCUAUCUACAUAGCAAAGGAUACUUUACUCCAGGGUGCAGAACAAGAAGGCUGAAAGAAAUCUGUAGAUAGAUAUUCAAAUCAUACAGCGGGCAAAGUAGGUAAAUAAAGUUUUCAAGAUUUCCA